RNAcentral lists this ribosomal RNA (1989 nucleotides) under Oscillatoriales cyanobacterium SM2_3_0. RNAcentral describes it as "partial 23S ribosomal RNA". It matches the Rfam family "Bacterial large subunit ribosomal RNA", at positions 1 to 2035 of the family's 2925-position model. Lineage: Bacteria; Bacillati; Cyanobacteriota; Cyanophyceae; Oscillatoriales. The record is from RNAcentral.
AGGUCAAGCUACAAAGGGCUGACGGUGGAUUCCUAGGCACACAGAGGCGAAGAAGGACGUGGCGACCGACGAAAUGUCCCGGGGAGCUGGAAGCGAGCAUUGAUCCGGGGGUAUCCGAAUGGGGCAACCCAGAGACUCCUGACUGAAUAAAUAGGUAAAGGAGAGCGAACCCAGCGAAUUGAAACAUCUUAGUAGCUGGAGGAAGAGAAAGCAAAAGCGAUUUUCUAAGUAGCGGUGAGCGAAAGGGAAGAAGCCUAAACCGGGUGUUUUUACACGCGGGGUAGUGGGACAGCAAGAAAGGACUGUAAAGGUUAGACGAAGCAGUUGAAAGCUGCACCAGAGGGGGUGAAAGUCCUGUAGUCUAAAGCCAGAGCAGCCGAGCUGAAUCCCGAGUAGCACGGAGCCCGUGGAAUUCCGUGUGAAUCAGCGAGGACCACCUCGUAAGGCUAAAUACUCCUGUGUGACCGAUAGAGGAAAAGUACCGUGAGGGAAAGGUGAAAAGAACCCCGGAAGGGGAGUGAAAUAGAACGUGAAACCGUCAGCCUACAAGCAGUGGGAGGUCGAUUCAACGACUGACCGCGUGCCUGUUGAAGCAUGAGCCGGCGAGUUAAAGGUAAUGGCAGGUUAAGACUUUUUGAGUUGAAGCCAAAGCGAAAGCGAGUCUGAUAAGGGCGUGAGUCAUUAUUUUUAGACCCGAACCCGGGUGAUCUAACCAUGUCCAGAAUGAAGCUUGGGUAAAGCCAAGUGGAGGUUCGAACCGACCGAUGUUGAAAAAUCGGCGGAUGAGGUGUGGUUAGGGGUGAAAUGCCAAUCGAACCCGGAGCUAGCUGGUUCUCCCCGAAAUGUGUUGAGGCACAGCGGUAAGGGUUUAAUCCUGGGGGUAAAGCACUGUUUCGGUGCGGGCUGCGAGAGCGGUACCAAAUCGAGACAAACUCUGAAUACCAGGUGUAUACCUUACCAGUCAGACGGUGGGGGAUAAGCUUCAUCGUCAAGAGGGAAACAGCCCAGACCACCAGCUAAGGUCCCCAAAUAACCGCUAAGUGAGAAAGGAGGUGGGAGUGCACAGACAACCAGGAGGUUUGCCUAGAAGCAGCCAUCCUUGAAAGAGUGCGUAAUAGCUCACUGGUCAAGCGCUCCUGCGCCGAAAAUGAACGGGGCUAAGCGGUUUACCGAAGCUGUGGACUCAGAAUAUGAGUGGUAGGGGAGCGUUCCGUAGUAGUGAGAAGCACUAGCGGCAAGCAGGUGUGGACGAAACGGAAGUGAGAAUGUCGGCUUAAGUAGCGAAAAUAUGUGUGAGAAUCACAUACCCCGAAACCCUAAGGGUUCCUCCGGACGGUUCGUCCGCGGAGGGUGAGUCAGGGCCUAAGGCGAGGCUGAAGAGCGUAGUCGAUGGAUAACGGGUCAAGAUUCCCGUACUGUUAAUAGUUUGUGAAGAGGGACGGAGUAGGUGUUGGCAAGCCAGAUGUUGGUUACUGGUGUAAGUGUUCAAGGUGAUGAGGUCUGGAGAAAACGGACUGAGCUGAGGCACGAGUCCGAGCUGCUACGGCGGCGAAGUUGCAGGCAUCAAGCUUCCAAGAAAAGCUCUAUACACGUUAAGCUAUUGACACCUGUACCCGAAACCGACACAGGUAGGGAGGUUGAGAAUACCAAGGGGCGCGAGAUAACUCUCUCUAAGGAACUCGGCAAAAUGGCUCCGUAACUUCGGGAGAAGGAGUGCCAGCGAGAGCUGGUCGCAGUGAAGAGGCCCAGGCGACUGUUUACCAAAAACACAGGUCUCCGCCAAGUCGUAAGACGAUGUAUGGGGGCUGACGCCUGCCCAGUGCCGGAAGGUUAAGGAAGUUGGUCAGGGAAACUGAAGCUAGCGACUGAAGCCCCGGUGAACGGCGGCCGUAACUAUAACGGUCCUAAGGUAGCGAAAUUCCUUGUCGGGUAAGUUCCGACCCGCACGAAAGGCGUAACGAUCUGGGCACUGUCUCGGAGAGAGACUCG